ACUCUCCUGUAUGACAGCAGAGCACAUUGUCAUGUCCAGUUGUAUAUAACUUUGUGUCAUAUUGGAAGUAUUUUCUGCUUCAACACAAGCCAUGACAUGAAAUGCAAUUAUUCACUAACAGACAAACCACAUAAAUUAACAAUCAAUACAUGACAUACUUAUUGCACAUCAAUUCAUUGAAUUGACUGUAUAAACACACAUGUACAUACACAGCCAUGGCCGAGAUAGUCUCACGGGUCAGGGAGGAAGCUGACAAGGCUCUUUAAUGGAAUCUCAAUAAUGGAGUGAGUGUUCCCCUGGGCCCCUAUCAGGCAGACACACACACAGCUCUGCUUCCUGCUGCAGUGAGGAGACGUGCCCAGGCAUGCUGGUCUCUAAUGGGUCCUCUGUGGAGGGAAGAACAGGGAGCACAAACUACAGCCGUGCCUCACUGACGUACACAUAUACAGUUGAAGUCGGAAGUUUACAUACACUUUAGCCAAAUACAUUUAAACUCAGGUUUUCACAAUUCCUGACAUUUAAUCUUAGUAAAAAUUCCCUGUCUUAGGUCAGUUAGGAUCACCACUUUAUUUUAAGAAUGUGAAAUGUUAGAAUAAUAUUAGAGAGAAUAAUUUAUUUCAGCUUUUAUUUCAUUCAUCACAUUCCCAGUGGGUCAGAAGUUUACAUACACUCAAUUAGUAUUUGUUAGCAUUGCCUUUAAAUUGUUUAACUUGGGUAAAAUGUUUCGGGUAGCCUUCCACAACCUUUCCACAAUAAGUUGGGUGAAUUUUGGCCCUUUCCUCCUGACAGAGCUGGUGUAACUGAGUCAGGUUUGUAGGCCUCCUUGCUCGCACACGCUUUUUCAGUUCUGCCCACAAUAGGAUUAAGGUCAGGGCUUUGUGAUGUCCACUCCAAUACCUUGACUUUGUUGUCCUUAAGCCAUUUUGCUACAACUUUGGAAGUAUGCUUGGGGUCAUUGUCCAUUAGGAAAACCCAUUUGCAACCAAGCUUUAACUUCCUGACUGAUGUCUUGAGAUGUUGCUUCAAUAUAUCCACAUCAUUUCCCUUCCUCAUGAUGACAUUUAUUUUGUGAAGCGCACCAGUCCCUCCUGCAGCAAAGCACCCUCACAACAUGAUGCUGCCACCCCCGUGCUUCACGGUUGGGAUGGUGUUCUUCAGCUUGCAAGCGUCCCCCUUUUUCCUCCAAACAUAACGAUGGUCAUUAUGGCCAAACAGUUCUAUUUUUAUUUCAUCAGACCAGAGGACAUUUCUCCAAAAAGUACAAUCUUUGUCCCCAUGUGCAGUUGCAAACCAUUGUCUGGCUUUUUUUUAUGGCGGUUUUGGAGCAGUGACUUCUUCCUUGCUGACCGGCCUUUCAGGUUAAGUUGAUAUAGGACUGGUUUUACUAUGGCUCUAGAUACUUUUGUACCUGUUUCCUCCAGCAUCUUCACAAGGUCCUUUGCUGUUGAUCUGGGAUUGAUUUGCACUUUUCGCACCAAGAUGAACGUGGUACCUUCAAGCGUUUGGAAAUUGCUCCCAAGGAUGAACCAGACUUGUGGAGGUCUACAGCUUUUUUUCUGAGGUCUUGGCUGAUUUCUUUUGAUUUUCUCAUGAUGUCAAGCAGAGGCACUGAGUUUGAAGGUAGGCCUUGAAAUACAUCCACAGGUACACCUCCAAUUGACUCAAAUCAUGUCAAUUAGCCUAUUAACAGCUUCUAAAACCAUGACAUAAUUUUCUGUAAUUUUCCAAGCUGUUUAAAGGCACAGUCAACUUAGUGUAUGUAAACUUCUGACCCACUGGAAUUGUGAUACAUUGAAUUAUAAGUAAAAUAAUCUGUCUGUGAAUAAUUGUUGGGAAAAUGACUUGUCAUGCACAAAGUAGAUGUCCAAAACUAUAGUUUGUUACCAUGACAUUUGUGGAGUGGUUGAAACACUUAUGUUGGAGUCAUUAAAACUAGUUUAUGUAAACUUCCCACUUCAACUGUGUACACACACACACACACACACACACACACACACACACACACACACACACACACACACACACACACACACACAAGCUACAGAAUUAUGUUUGAUCAAUAGACACACAUUGUUCAGUAAUACACGUUUUUUCUCUACUGUGUGUACAGUCUCCAAUCGGCCUCUCUGUUAUUGGAGGCUGAUUAUUCCUGGGUGGGGUGGUUGAGCUCGGUCAAACAUACAGUUUGUUUAAGCUGAGAGGGCCGAGGAGAGCUGCUAUUUGUAAUGAACACAACCAGCACACACACGCAGCCAUUAGCCAGUGAACACUCCACCUGUUGUCUGCUCUGUUCCAGCACAGCAUGGUGUUUGUCUAAUGUAACCCAUUACAACCAUACAAUCUGUACCUGUCUCUGUCAUAUUGUUCACAGCAUGGUGUUUGUCUAAUGUAACCCAUUACAACCAUAUCUGUA
Molecule: long non-coding RNA, 2413 nt
Organism: Salvelinus fontinalis (brook trout)
Lineage: Eukaryota; Metazoa; Chordata; Actinopteri; Salmoniformes; Salmonidae
Exons: 2
Source: RefSeq, a predicted model, not a curated record